Molecule: ribosomal RNA, 499 nt
Filed under: uncultured bacterium
Lineage: Bacteria
Description: partial 16S ribosomal RNA
Rfam family: Bacterial small subunit ribosomal RNA
Source: RNAcentral
GACGAACGCUGGCGGCGUGCUUAACACAUGCAAGUCGAACGGGCCCGCCCCUGUUUUUGGGGGUGGGUUGAGUGGCGAACGGGUGAGUAUCACGUGAGUAACCUGCCCCCUGCUCCUGGAUAACUGCUUGAAAGGGCGGCUAAUACGGGGUGUGCCGGCUGGUCCGCAUGGGCCUGGUCGGGAUAGUUUCAUCUUCGGGUGUUUCGGUGGGGGAUGGGCUCGCGGCCUAUCAGCUUGUUGGUGGGGUGAUGGCCCACCAAGGCGGUGACGGGUAGCCGGCCUGGGGGGGUGGGCGGCCACACUGGGACUGAGACACGGCCCAGACUCCUGCGGGAGGCAGCAGUGGGGGGUAUUGCACAAUGGGCGGAAGCCUGAUGCAGCGACGUCGCGUGAGGGAUGGAGGCCUUCGGGUUGUGAACCUCUUUCUCCGGUGGUGAAGGCCCUGUCCGUUGCGGCGGGGUUGACGGUAGCCGGGUAUGAAGCGCCGGCUAACUACGUG